UACCUACUCCCUCCGUUCGGAAUUACUUGUCGUAGAAAUGGAUGCAUUUAGAAAAAUUUUAGUUCUAGAUACAUCCAUUUCUGUGACAAGUAAUUUAGAACGGAGGAAGUACUAC
Molecule: non-coding RNA, 115 nt
Organism: Triticum aestivum (bread wheat)
Lineage: Eukaryota; Viridiplantae; Streptophyta; Magnoliopsida; Poales; Poaceae
Source: Rfam